Molecule: unclassified non-coding RNA, 343 nt
Filed under: Arthrorhaphis sp.
Lineage: Eukaryota; Fungi; Ascomycota; Lecanoromycetes; Arthrorhaphidaceae
Description: partial contains 5.8S ribosomal RNA, internal transcribed spacer 2, and large subunit ribosomal RNA
Source: RNAcentral
AACGCACAUUGCGCUCUCUGGUAUUCCGGAGAGCAUGCUUGUUUGAGUAUCAGUAAAACACCUCAAGUCCGCUCUUCAUCUUUGAAGACGGAUUUGGACUUGAGCGAUCCCAACAGGAGGGCUUUCCUUCUGGCGGGUUGCUUGAAAUGCAGGUGCAGCUGGACUUUCUUCUGGGCUAUAAGCAUAUUUAUUUAGUCCCGUUAAACGGAUUAUUACUUUUUGCUGCAGCCAACGUAAAGGUUGAUUGUCCUCUUGCUGACUGAUGCAGGAAUCUUCGGGGGAUCGGCAACGAUUUCCCGUUAAACUCGAUCUCAAAUCAGGUAAGACUACCCGCUGAACUUAA